Long non-coding RNA from Glycine soja, 437 nucleotides. RefSeq lists it as uncharacterized. The transcript has 3 exons. The record is from RefSeq and is a predicted model, not a curated record. NCBI's taxonomy places the organism in Eukaryota, Viridiplantae, Streptophyta, Magnoliopsida, Fabales, Fabaceae.
CUUGUGACAUUUUCAAUUCUGCAUAUAUCCCUGUAAGUUAGCUAUCUAUUGAUUUUAUUUUGUUUAUAGCUUGCUCUCUCCAAAUGGGUCGACGCCAAGCCUGAAAAACCUACUAUUUGUUCAGACACCCCAGAGCGGUGAUCUGGAAUAGUUGGAAGUUAUAAAUGCAUAAAUCUUUGAGAUGUGGAAGUUCAUUGUCAUUUUGAACCUUUCUGUGAUGUUUAAUUCCUUUGUUUUUUUCUCUCUCCAUGAAAUGGAACAUGCACUGGAUUUUGAUUUGCAUGGUUAAUCUUGUAAUAAUAAAAGUUUAAACGGAUGAUUUAGAACUUAUUGACAAACUGGCUGUGUAACUUUACUCUGCUUCCAGUUCCAGGUCCUGAAAUGAGAAAGCUGCCCAACUAUGUUAAGUUGGGUCAUAAGUUUAUGAAAUAAGUUAA